CGUUAGCCCGGUCUCCAUCUCCGGUACCCUCCCAUCUCCGAUCCUUCUUUCUCCGUCUAGCAAAACAAAUAUUAUUUUUUUUAAAAAUAAAAAAUUCAUUUCUUGUUACACACUUCAAAUCCUUUUUUCUCUUUUUAUCUCACGACAUAUACACAAAAAAUAUAGUAUAAUUUCUUUUUUUUUUUUGGGAUUUUUGUCUGGCUCUAGAAGCAGUGAGCUAAGUAGAAAGAGAGAGGGAGAGACAGAGAAGAGGAGAUUACUAUGCGAGAAUGGCUCAGUACAGGCAACAGUACCACUACGGUAACGGAUCGACGUCGGAUCAUUUGGCCAUUGGGGUUCGAGGAGGCGGCGGCGGAGGAGCCGGGAAUAAAGCCGCCCGAUGGCGCCGAUCGGGGCGUGGAGACAAGAACCGCCGAAUCUCCAUCGGCUCUCUCAUCGUUGUUCUCUCUCUCGUGCUCGUUGUAACUGUUCUCGUAUACUAUUACAUCUCCACUGAUAAUAAUGAUAAUAGUGAAGAAUUAAAUAGUUAUCAUCCUAAGGAUGUUGAUUCCAAGGUUGAUUCUGAUUUCCUUACAAAUGUGACACGAAUGGACAGUUCUAAAGUCCUUAGUUUUGGCCGCAGUUCCAUAGCACAUGGCCGUGAUUCACGAUAUUGGGAUAGGGAUGAUAGGAGAAGGGAUGAUGAUUAUAAUGAGGAUGUGGUGGAGCAUAAUAUGAUGGAUUCUAGUGAUGAGUCUCUUGAUGGUGGCCAUGUUCCCAUGAAAGUGAAGAAUGAGAAGAAGGAGGCUUCCCUUGAUCCUAAUAAGGAUCUGGAUCAUAGAGCUGUUGGGUUGUACAAUGAAGCUGGGCGCAAUGAAUUAAAAAGGUAUGAGAAAGAAUACGAGUUAUCUCUGAAGGAUGGGGGCAAGUUACAAAAAGAACUUGAAAAUAGCCGUCAGCUCUCUGACAGUAAGGACUUUGGAUUGCAUGAUGAGGUUGAUGAUGCUGAUGACCACUAUAAUGAUGACAUUGAUUCUAGUGAUAGUCAAAUGGAAGAUUAUGAUGAUUUUGGACAUGACAAGGAGGAUAACAUAGAUGAAGUAAAAUCUCAUAAUGAACAUGUUAAAGAGUCCUCCACUUUCUCUAAAACUAAGGAUCGGCAUGUUGUCAAAGAGGUUAAAGAAGAAUCCAUGUUAUCUAGGGAGGUCUCUCGAGAUUUUGGUGAUGUUGAUGCUAAUUCUCAACAUGUUGGUUCCCUUGGUCGUAAAGGUGCAAAAAGCUCACGGGCAGAUUCAAAAAGAAAGCCAAGGCGCCGCAAAUUUUCAGGCUCUUGUGAGAUGAAGUUAUUAAAUUCAACACACCUUGUAGAGCCUUUAGAAAGUCGAAAGUUUGCAAGAUUUUCCUUACAGUAUAAACAAAUGGAGGAGAAGCCUGAAGGAGAAGAACAAUGGGUACCUAGAUUCGCUGGGCAUCAGAGUUUGCAAGAACGUGAGGAAUCGUUUUUGGCGCAUGACCAAAAGAUAAAUUGUGGGCUUGUUAAAGGUCCACAAGGGUAUCCGAGUACUGGCUUUGAUCUGGCAGAAGAUGAUGUGAAUUACAUCAGCAGGUGCCACAUUGCUGUGAUCUCUUGCAUUUUUGGAAAUUCAGAUCGCUUGAGGACUCCUGCAGGCAAAAUGGUUACUCGGUUGUCAAGGAAAAAUGUCUGCUUUGUUAUGUUUGUGGAUGAAGUCACGAUGCAAACACUUUUUUCAGAAGGUCAAUCACCUGAUGGUGGUUUUAUUGGUUUAUGGAAGAUAGUGGUUAUAAAAAAUCUUCCAUACACUGAUAUGCGCAGAGUGGGUAAAAUACCAAAAUUGUUGCCGCAUAGACUAUUUCCUUCUGCAAGGUACUCGAUCUGGUUGGAUAGCAAACUACGUCUACAACGUGAUCCUUUACAACUCCUGGAUUACUUCUUGUGGCGAAAAGGUCAUGAGUAUGCGAUCUCUAAUCAUUAUGACCGACAUUGUGUCUGGGAAGAGGUUGCACAAAAUAAGAAGCUGAACAAGUAUAAUCAUACAGUCAUUGAUGAACAAUUUGAAUUUUACCAGGCUGAUGGGCUAAAAAAAUUCAACUCUUCAGAUCCUAACAAGCUUCUUCCUAGCAAUGUGCCUGAAGGUUCUUUUAUUGUUAGAGCACACACCCCAAUGUCAAAUUUGUUCUCAUGUCUUUGGUUCAAUGAGGUCGAGCGAUUUACUCCACGUGAUCAGUUAAGUUUCGCAUAUACAUACCAGAAAUUGAAGAGGAUAAAUCCUGACAGACCAUUUUAUCUCAGCAUGUUCAAGGAUUGUGAGAGGAGAGCUGUAGCUAAGUUGUUUCGCCAUAGAUCAGAGGAGAAGCGAAAUGUUCAACAACAGGCAAUGUUGUAAAAAUGUGUUGCAAUAUCGACCUUUCAUGUCGAGUGUCAAAUUUUUGUACACUUUCUUUGGCCCCUGCUGGUUCAGUUCCUUGUAAAGAAUGCCAACAGUGCUAGUUGUCGACAUAAUGUGACGAAAUUUCUUGGCAACUUGCAACGAGGAAGUCUUAGAGUUGGAUAUAAAGUUUCACGAGCACGAUUAUUUUGAGCCACGGCACCAUCUUGCGGCAGUCCCUUUCGGUUUUAAAUUUGGUUCUCAAUUGGCUAUUAAAAGUUUGUUUUGAGGUGGGGUUUUCAGCCUUGAAUGACAAUUGCCCAUUUAAAUGAGUUGCAAUCCAGUUUAAAUCUUUGCUGGUUGAACUGAGAAACGCGUUAUUCGUCAAGUACAAGUAGAAUCCCAUUUUGUCGCCUAUGAUC
Theobroma umbraticum is the source of this 2788-nucleotide RNA transcript. It is a transcript of the gene named transmembrane protein (DUF616), with no coding region annotated. NCBI's taxonomy places the organism in Eukaryota, Viridiplantae, Streptophyta, Magnoliopsida, Malvales, Malvaceae. The record is from RefSeq and is a predicted model, not a curated record.